RNAcentral lists this ribosomal RNA (686 nucleotides) under uncultured bacterium. Its description in RNAcentral is "bacterial SSU rRNA". It matches the Rfam family "Bacterial small subunit ribosomal RNA", at positions 8 to 688 of the family's 1533-position model. The record is from RNAcentral.
AGGGUUUGAUCAUGGCUCAGAUUGAACGCUGGUGGUAUGCUUAACACAUGCAAGUCGAACGGUAACAUUGGAGCUUGCUCCAGAUGACGAGUGGCGGACGGGUGAGUAACGCGUAGGAAUCUGCCUAGUAGUGGGGGACAACAUGUGGAAACGCAUGCUAAUACCGCAUACGCCCUACGGGGGAAAGCGGGGGAUCUUCGGACCUCGCGCUAUUAGAUGAGCCUGCGUUAGAUUAGCUUGUUGGUGGGGUAAUGGCCUACCAAGGCGACGAUCUAUAGCUGGUCUGAGAGGACGAUCAGCCACACUGGGACUGAGACACGGCCCAGACUCCUACGGGAGGCAGCAGUGGGGAAUAUUGGACAAUGGGCGCAAACCUGAUCCAGCAAUACCACGUGUGUGAAGAAGGCCUGAGGGUUGUAAAGCACUUUCAAUUGGGAGGAAAACAGCUGGGUUAAUAGCCCUGCUCUUGACAUUACCUUUAGAAGAAGCACCGGCUAACUCCGUGCCAGCAGCCGCGGUAAUACGGAGGGUGCGAGCGUUAAUCGGAAUUACUGGGCGUAAAGCGUACGUAGGCGGUUAUUUAAGUCAGAUGUGAAAGCCCCGGGCUCAACCUGGGAACUGCAUUUGAAACUGGAUAACUAGAGUUUGAUAGAGGAGAGUAGAAUUUCUGGUGUAGCGGUGAAAUG